This is a long non-coding RNA of Drosophila willistoni, 265 nucleotides long. RefSeq lists it as uncharacterized. Lineage: Eukaryota; Metazoa; Arthropoda; Insecta; Diptera; Drosophilidae. The record is from RefSeq and is a predicted model, not a curated record. The transcript has 3 exons.
UUACUCCAGACUGCAGUUGUAAAACAUCAAAGGCUACGCCAAAACCGAUCUUCAAGGUGAUAUGCCGACCACGUCCAAGCAAAGAUUUAUGCAGGAUUUCAAUUCCUUGUGAUAAUUUGUUAAGAAACUGUAAGCGCUGUAGUGGCGGUAGAGGGACACAGUCAUUCGAUGAUCAAUGCUGUGGAAGUGGAGGGAGUAGCACAUCAACACUCAAGUUGUCAACAUCGUCAUUUACACGAAGCCAACCAAUCAAUGCAUCGAAUCA